Molecule: transfer RNA, 104 nt
Filed under: Candidatus Woesearchaeota archaeon
Lineage: Archaea; Nanobdellati; Candidatus Woesearchaeota
Description: tRNA-Val
Rfam family: tRNA
About the family: Transfer RNA (tRNA) molecules are approximately 80 nucleotides in length. Their secondary structure includes four short double-helical elements and three loops (D, anti-codon, and T loops). Further hydrogen bonds mediate the characteristic L-shaped molecular structure. tRNAs have two regions of fundamental functional importance: the anti-codon, which is responsible for specific mRNA codon recognition, and the 3' end, to which the tRNAs corresponding amino acid is attached (by aminoacyl-tRNA synthetases). tRNAs cope with the degeneracy of the genetic code in two manners: having more than one tRNA (with a specific anti-codon) for a particular amino acid; and 'wobble' base-pairing, i.e. permitting non-standard base-pairing at the 3rd anti-codon position.
Source: RNAcentral
GGGCCCGUAGUCUAGUGGUUAGUCGUCAAAAAAUUCUUUGGAGACCCACAAAUGACGUCACCCUUACAAGGUGAAGGUCGGCAGUUCGAAUCUGCCCGGGCCCA